UUCCUUACUUCCUCAUUAAAU
RNAcentral lists this non-coding RNA (21 nucleotides) under Caenorhabditis elegans. Lineage: Eukaryota; Metazoa; Nematoda; Chromadorea; Rhabditida; Rhabditidae. The record is from RNAcentral.